ACGGAGGGUGCAAGCGUUAUUCGGAAUUACUGGGCGUAAAGCGUGCGCAGGCGGUUUUGUAAGACUGAUGUGAAAGCCCCGGGCUUAACCCGGGAACUGCCAUGGUAACUGCAGGUCUGGAGUACUGCAGAGGAUGAGGGAAUUCCCGGUGUAGAGGUGAAAUGCGUAGAUAUGCGGAGGAAGAUCGAUGGCGAAGGCGCCCAUCUGGACGGUAACUGACGCUGAUGCGCGAAAGCGUGGGGAGCAAACAG
This 251-nucleotide ribosomal RNA is filed under the name uncultured prokaryote. RNAcentral's name for it is "partial 16S rRNA". It matches the Rfam family "Bacterial small subunit ribosomal RNA", at positions 525 to 775 of the family's 1533-position model. The record is from RNAcentral.